This 488-nucleotide ribosomal RNA is filed under the name uncultured bacterium. RNAcentral describes it as "partial 16S ribosomal RNA". It matches the Rfam family "Bacterial small subunit ribosomal RNA", at positions 28 to 507 of the family's 1533-position model. The record is from RNAcentral.
GACGAACGCUGGCGGCGUGCUUAACACAUGCAAGUCGAACGCGCCUGUCCUCUGGGUUUCUGGGGGGUGGGUGAGUGGCGAACGGGUGAGUAACACGUGAGUAACCUGCCCCCUUCUUCGGGAUAACGGUCUGAAAGGGCUGCUAAUACCGGGUAUUCACUGGUCUCCGCAUGGGGUCUGGUGGAAAGGUUUUUUUCUGGUGGGGGAUGGGCUCGCGGCCUAUCAGCUUGUUGGUGGGGUGAUGGCCCACCAAGGCUUUGACGGGUAGCCGGCCUGAGAGGGGGACCGGUCACAUUGGGACUGAGAUACGGCCCAGACUCCUACGGGAGGCAGCAGUGGGGAAUAUUGCACAAUGGGCGCAAGCCUGAUGCAGCGACGCCGCGUGAGGGAUGGAGGCCUUCGGGUUGUGAACCUCUUUCGCCCGUGGUCAAGCCGCGACGUGGGUCGUGGUGAGGGUAGUGGGUAAAGAAGCGCCGGCUAACUACGUG